UACGUAGGGGGCAAGCGUUGUCCGGAAUUAUUGGGCGUAAAGAGCGUGUAGGCGGCCAGAUAAGUCCGCUGUGAAAUCUCGAGGCUCAACUUCGAGCUGUCGGUGGAAACUAUCUGGCUAGAGUCCGGAAGAGGAGAAUGGAAUUCCUGGUGUAGCGGUGAAAUGCGCAGAUAUCAGGAAGAACACCCGUGGCGAAGGCGGUUCUCUGGGCCUUACCUGACGCUCAGGUGCGAAAGCUAGGGGAGCGAACAGG
Molecule: ribosomal RNA, 253 nt
Filed under: uncultured bacterium
Lineage: Bacteria
Description: partial 16S ribosomal RNA
Rfam family: Bacterial small subunit ribosomal RNA
Source: RNAcentral